CUACGGGUGGCUGCAGUGGGGAAUAUUGGACAAUGGGGGAAACCCUGAUCCAGCAAUGCCGCGUGUGUGAAGAAGGCCUGCGGGUUGUAAAGCACUUUCGGUUGGGAGGACUGCUUCUAGCACUAAUAUUGUUGGAAGUUGACGUUACCUUCAGAAGAAGCACCGGCUAACUCCGUGCCAGCAGCCGCGGUAAUAGCGGAGGGUGCAAGCGUUAAUCGGAAUUACUGGGCGUAAAGCGCGCGUAGGCGGCUAGAUCAGUCGGGUGUGAAAGCCCCGGGCUUAACCUGGGAACUGCAUCCGAUACUGUCUAGCUUGAGUACAGGAGAGGAGAGUGGAAUUCCACAUGUAGCGGUGAAAUGCGUAGAUAUGUGGAGGAACACCAAUGGCGAAGGCAGCUCUCUGGCCUGAUACUGACGCUGAGGUGCGAAAGCGUGGGGAGCAAACAGGAUUAGAUACCCGGGUAGUC
RNAcentral lists this ribosomal RNA (466 nucleotides) under uncultured bacterium. RNAcentral describes it as "partial 16S ribosomal RNA". It matches the Rfam family "Bacterial small subunit ribosomal RNA", at positions 339 to 795 of the family's 1533-position model. The record is from RNAcentral.